CUGGCAGCUCACUUGAGAGGUCUUUUAGGUAACAGCCAAGGCAGUUUGAGGGAAUGGUGUGCGUGCGUGUGUGUGCGUGUGUGCACGUGCAUUGGUGUGCACAUGUGAGCAGUGGUGUUGGAAAAACCCAGAGUAGCUGCUCCCAAGCAAGCAAUUCCAAAGAGCUGUUGUUAUAUCUGGCUGGCUCUGCCACUCUUGAAGUUUUGGGGUUACAGGGGAUACCGUCUAGACCAGUCUUUUGGCUCUGGGGUUGGCAGAACAUAGAACCAGAAAGCCAAAUCACAGUGCAAAUAUCUCGCUGCAUUUUUCCUGGUAAACGGUCAAGCUGGAUGGAAACUAAAUCUCAAACGAUGACCAAAUAGCAAUAAGCAAGAGAAUGAAGGCUGCCCAGGGCUUUCUUCAGUGCUUGCUAGAUAUGUUCUGGUUCUUGAGCCACUGUGAGACACUACUGCAGGCGGGGUCCUUACAAAAAGAGAGCGAAGGGACUGUGCUCCCCACCUUCCAGCUGGGGAACAUUCUCACUGUGUCCGUGCAAUCUUCUAGACUCAAAGGUGGCCCUAGGGUAGGACACACACGGAAAUACAGAAUUGAAAUAAUUUAUUUACCACUAGAGCACCACAAAAACAGACAUACAUUGUGUUAAAAUACAGCAUAAUUGGUCGUCAAAGUACAAAACAGCUAUUCUUAUAUUCCAAUUUUUUAACCAUGCCAACCACAAAAUUGUACUGCUGCUUAACACAUAUACACUGCUGCCCGCCGGCCUACUAACACUUCUCGCUUCCAACCUCCGCCCUCCCCUCCCAUGGCAACAUUUAUUUACGGGAAAUAAAGACCUUGUAGAAUCCCCCAAUUGAAAACAAAAAGAUUCAGGAGAUCUUAAAAUAGAGCAUUUAAAAUAUUAUCAGUGCAUUCAUAAGGAAAGACAAACUAAUACAAAACAAAAUGUCAUUUUAUCUCAGAGGAAAAUACCUGCAGAAAUAAAAGUGAUUUACACAGAAUUAACAGGAAAGUGGAGGAGGAAAAGCCCAACACAGUCUGGGAUUGGGUUACACCUGAUGUGAGAGCUGCUCAGUGUUGUGGCACCCUCUCUAGUUUGCUUUUCCAGUUUUCAAAUUUGCGAAUCCAAUUCUUCAUCUUAAUGAUGGUCAGGAAAUUCCAACAGGAAAGUAUACCAUUCCUGUCUUACUCCACUGCCCUUAGGUGCAACUUCAUGAUUUGCCUAUGAAUUUUUAUCUGAAAACUAAAUAAGUGACAUGUACCCUGCAAACCCAGGCAUGAGGUACCUCCUCCAAAAUGAUGUGACAAGUCAUUUCUGUAAGCCAAGUAAAACCUCUAGCCCCAGUUCUAGAUAACUUGCACUCAGAGGAAAGAGAAUAUGUUGAUCAUGGGAGAAUUUGGCUUGUGUCUUUUCAACCUUUCAAGAAGAUCUACCAAAAGCCUUAACUUAGUGAAAUAAGUGACAUGAGUAACUGUGACCUGGAUGUUUUCACCCUUUCAAAAGUACCUAAAAUGUGCACCCUUCCAUUUCCCCCUUAACAGGAAAAGGUAUUUCCUGAACUGCUUGCCUUUUAAUAACAGUAAAAUUCUGCAAAAAAUACUAACUGAACCACAUUAACUCAGCCACCAGGAUUCUGAGUUCAGAUCCUCAGAUUCUGUGAAAAUUAGAACAUUUCCCCCGAUUAUCUAUGUUUCCAUAGCAUUUCCCAUUUUCCUAACAUAGAUGUUUUUUAACAUGACUUGAUUAGUAAUGAUGAUCAAAAGAUGAAGAAAGACCACUAAAUUCCAUCUAUUCUUUUUGUAAAAGAAAAAAAAAGACAAACAGACACAGAUAGCUUAUGUCAUAGAAAUGGACAAUACACAAAGCACAGGAGAGCAAAUCUU
Molecule: long non-coding RNA, 1881 nt
Organism: Heterocephalus glaber (naked mole-rat)
Lineage: Eukaryota; Metazoa; Chordata; Mammalia; Rodentia; Bathyergidae
Source: Ensembl